CCUACGGGUGGCUGCAGUGAGGAAUAUUGGUCAAUGGACGAGAGUCUGAACCAGCCAAGUAGCGUGAAGGAUGACUGCCCUAUGGGUUGUAAACUUCUUUUAUAUGGGAAUAAAAUGUGCCACGUGUGGGAUUUUGUAUGUACCAUAUGAAUAAGGAACGGCUAACUCCGUGCCAGCAGCCGCGGUAAUACGGAGGAGCCGAGCGUUAUCCGGAUUUAUUGGGGUUAAAGGGAGCGUAGGUGGCUUGUUAAGUCAGUUGUGAAAGUUUGCGGCUCCACCGUAAAAUUGCAGUUGAAACUGGCAGUCUUGAGUCCAGUAGAGGUUGGCGGCAUUCGUUGUGUAGCGG
RNAcentral lists this ribosomal RNA (346 nucleotides) under uncultured bacterium. Its description in RNAcentral is "partial 16S ribosomal RNA". It matches the Rfam family "Bacterial small subunit ribosomal RNA", at positions 338 to 681 of the family's 1533-position model. The record is from RNAcentral.